RNAcentral lists this ribosomal RNA (469 nucleotides) under uncultured bacterium. Its description in RNAcentral is "bacterial SSU rRNA". It matches the Rfam family "Bacterial small subunit ribosomal RNA", at positions 35 to 504 of the family's 1533-position model. The record is from RNAcentral.
GCUGGCGGCGUGCCUAACACAUGCAAGUCGAACGUGAAGGGUGAGACAAAUACUUCGGUAGAUGGAUUACCUGGAAAGUGGCGAACGGGUGAGUAACACGUAGAUAACCUGCCUCGAAGCGGGGGAUAACCAUUGGAAACGGUGGCUAAUACCGCAUGCAUCCACAUUAACGGGAGUUGGAGUGGAUAAAGUUGAGGCGCUUCGAGAGGGGUCUGCGUCCGAUUAGCUAGUUGGUGAGGUAAAGGCUCACCAAGGCUGAGAUCGGUAGCUGUUCUGAGAGGAAGAUCAGCCACACGGGAACUGAGACACGGUCCCGACUCCUACGGGGGGCAGCAGUGAGGAAUAUUGCACAAUGGGGGGAACCCUGAUGCAGCAACGCCGCGUGAAGGAUGAAGGUCCUUGGAUUGUAAACUUCUUUUAUCGGGGAAGAGGAAGGACGGUACCCGGUGAAUAAGUCACGGCUAACUAC